AUUGAACGCUGGGGCAGGCCUUAACACAUGCAAGUCGAGCGGAAAGAAGAGGUGCUGCACCUCUGGCGUCGAGCGGCGGAACGGGUGAGUAAUGUUGGGAAUAUGCCUUAUGGUGGGAGACAACAGUUGGAAACGACUGCUAAUACCGCAUAAUGUCUACGGACCAAAGUGGGGGACCUUCGGGCCUCACGCCAUAAGAUUAGCCCAAGUGGGAUUAGUUAGUUGGUGAGGUAAUGGCUCACCAAGGCGACGAUCCCUAGCUGGUUUGAGAGGAUGAUCAGCCACACUGGGACUGAGACACGGCCCAGACUCCUACGGGAGGCAGCAGUGGGGAAUAUUGCACAAUGGGCGCAAGCCUGAUGCAGCCAUGCCGCGUGUGUGAAGAAGGCCUUCGGGUUGUAAAGCACUUUCAGUAAGGAGGAAAGGUUAAGUGUUAAUAGCACUUAGCUGUGACGUUACUUACAGAAGAAGCACCGGCUAACUCCGUGCCAGCAGCCGCGGUAAUACGGAGGGUGCGAGCGUUAAUCGGAAUUACUGGGCGUAAAGCGUACGCAGGCGGUUUGUUAAGCGAGAUGUGAAAGCCCCGGGCUCAACCUGGGAACUGUAUUUCGAGCUGGCAAACUAGAGUGUGAUAGAGGGUGGUAGAAUUUCAGGUGUAGCGGUGAAAUGCGUAGAGAUCUGAAGGAAUACCGAUGGCGAAGGCAGCCACCUGGGUCAACACUGACGCUCAUGUACGAAAGCGUGGGGAGCAAACAGG
This 757-nucleotide ribosomal RNA is filed under the name uncultured bacterium. RNAcentral describes it as "bacterial SSU rRNA". It matches the Rfam family "Bacterial small subunit ribosomal RNA", at positions 28 to 776 of the family's 1533-position model. The record is from RNAcentral.